Molecule: transfer RNA, 73 nt
Filed under: Maritimibacter sp.
Lineage: Bacteria; Pseudomonadati; Pseudomonadota; Alphaproteobacteria; Rhodobacterales; Roseobacteraceae
Description: tRNA-Asn
Rfam family: tRNA
About the family: Transfer RNA (tRNA) molecules are approximately 80 nucleotides in length.
Source: RNAcentral
GCUCUCUUAGCUCAGCGGUUAGAGCGUUCGACUGUUAAUCGAAAGGUCGCUGGUUCAAUCCCAGCAGGGAGCG